RNAcentral lists this long non-coding RNA (614 nucleotides) under Homo sapiens (human). RNAcentral's name for it is "non-protein coding lnc-RAVER1-1:1". Lineage: Eukaryota; Metazoa; Chordata; Mammalia; Primates; Hominidae. The record is from RNAcentral.
GUCACGUGAUGCAUGUCAUGGCCGCCUCCAUGGCCCGGGGAGGCGUGAGUGCCAGGGUUCUACUGCAGGCUGCCAGGGGCACCUGGUGGAACAGACCUGGGGGCACUUCCGGGUCGGGGGAGGGGGUGGCGCUGGGGACAACCAGAAAGUUUCAAGCGACAGGUACCUGGGGCGCCCGGGGCGGGCAGCGUUAAUCCGUCAGAUGCCGGCGGGGCGGGGCUCGGCGCAGCCGCUCACCGAACCGUGUUUUCCAGGCUCGCGCCCGGCUGGAGAGGAGGACGCGGGCGGCCCGGAGCGGCCCGGGGACGUGGUGAACGUGGUGUUCGUAGACCGCUCAGGCCAGCGGAUCCCAGUGAGUGGCAGAGUCGGGGACAAUGUUCUUCACCUGGCCCAGCGCCACGGGGUGGACCUGGAAGGGGCCUGUGAAGCCUCCCUGGCCUGCUCCACCUGCCAUGUGUAUGUGAGUGAAGACCACCUGGAUCUCCUGCCUCCUCCCGAGGAGAGGAGAACUCGCGGCUGGGCUGCCAGAUUGUGCUGACACCGGAGCUGGAAGGAGCGGAAUUCACCCUGCCCAAGAUCACCAGGAACUUCUACGUGGAUGGCCAUGUCCCCAA